RNAcentral lists this long non-coding RNA (24339 nucleotides) under Brachypodium distachyon (stiff brome). RNAcentral describes it as "long non-coding RNA (BDIS_LNC004784)". Lineage: Eukaryota; Viridiplantae; Streptophyta; Magnoliopsida; Poales; Poaceae. The record is from RNAcentral.
CUGAAAAACACCUUUAUGAUCACCCAGUUACGAGAUGACGGUUGAUGCCCACAAAGUAUUCUUCCGGUACUAGGGAGUGGCAUGAUCUCAUGGUCUAAAUAAAUAAUACUUGACAUAAUAAAACAUAAGCAACUUAAACUUAAGUGACACGAUCAAAAGCUAUGUUUAGGUUUGGGUCUGUCCAUCACAUCAUUCUCCUACUGAUAUGAUCUCGUUAUUAAAUGACAACACAUGUCUAUGGUUAGGAAAUCUUAACCAUCUUUAAUCAACGAGCUAAUCUAGUAGAGGCGUAUUAGGGACACGGUAUUUGUUUAUUUAUCCACACAUGUAUUUGAGUUUCCAAUCAAUACAAUUAUAGCAUGGGCAAUAAACAUUUAUCAAGAACAAUGAAAUAUGAUAAUAACAAAUUUAUUAUUGUCUCUAGGGCAUAUUUCCAACACACCCCCCCCCCCCCCCGGCGGCCCUCCGCUCCGUGGCGAGGCGUGGCGGCACGAGCAGAUCCCACCCCGGCGGGCGGCGGCAGCCCUCUGCUCUGUGCCGCGGCCUGGUUCCCGCCCUCGCAAAAAAAAUUCCCUCGCUCCGUGACCUCCGUCCCUCGCCCCGCGUUCUCUAUUUCUCUGCCGAAGUCAAGCGGUCGUGGGUUUGUUUUUGCCUGACCGCUGGAUCUAAAUUGGACGUCAGAUCACAGGGAUAGAGGCGCUUGGGACGUACACGAGUAACUUCACCGAAGCAGGCAGUGAAAUACUGAAAUUAGAGAAGGAUCUCGAUAGAGUGCGUACCAGUGCCUACACGCAUGCCCACACAAGUACUCUUACAACCCUGCAGUCGCUGCCGUGUAACGAUCAGGGAGACAGUGAUGUACGGCGUACCACAACAUAAUUCGUUUAAUUAAUACGUACGUCUGACCGGCCGGACCACAAGCUCGUGGUGACUUGUCAACUGGAGUAUAUCGUCGAUCUAAACUCUAAAGUGUCUCGAUCAGUACCUGCGUUAUUUUCUCAGUCCCGGGUUACAGUAAUCUUGCAUGCAUUUGCGCGCCACAAGGAUGCCUGCGAUCGAGCUCUAAAUGCAUUGAUAUGGUAUAUGUGGAAUGGACCGCAUGGAAAACCCGUACCAGCCAAGCCACCAGCUGAGCUACAGCUUGUUUUUCAGUUGAGACAAAUUAACGCGAUCGCAGGCGGCAUGAUCAGCGCUUAAACUCGAAUUUGGAUACAGUCCAGCCAAGCCGUCCGUAGGUUUAUCUCAUUUGGGAUGCGGAAGCUUAAGUGAUGUGCAGUACGUACGAUACCUCCACACACACACACAAAAAAAAAAACAGACGUGUUGGACCGAUUGAUCAUCCAUGUCCACAGAAACAACAAAGAUCCAGCGGCAGUGCAUGCGUACGUUCGCACCAAGUAUCUCAGUACGUGCAAUCGUGCACGCAUGCACUAGUAGUAUUAUAUUCGAUCUCCUGCCCGGUAAUCAAAGAGUACGUACAGAUGUACGGUAAUCGAACUCUUUAAUGCCUGCGAGCACACACCGAUAUAGUAGAAAAUAGUAUCUUGCUAUAUACUCGAUCUUGCACACACCGUUUGAGUACAGUGUGGAUCGGAAUGGACCGUACAAGAAGCCACCAGCUUGUUUCUUUCUUUUUUUUUGAAGGAACACCAGCUUGUUUCUGAUUUGGGAAGAACGCGUGUGAUCAACACUGGAAUUUAAAAAGAUUCCAGUCUGUAGGUAAACAAACGGAGGGCUCAUAGCCCCUUAAUUUGUUCCUUAAAUUAAAACUUUUGACUAAGCCUUUGAACCAUAAUUAGUCUAUUAAAAUAUAAUUUUUUGAAAUAAAAUUGAUGCUAUUGUAUUCAUAUUUAAGAGUACUUGUUCAUAGUUAUGAUUUGUAUCUUAUAAGUCACACGUCGAUGGAGUAAUACUUGAUCAAACAUUCGGUCAAAGAAAACAAUAUACGUCUUAAUUUAAGGAACGGAGAUCUUAGCCGAAGAGUUUUAAGUCAAACAGCAGCUUGAAUUAUGACGGUCCCAAACGUGUUCUAGCUCAGGGAAAAUGAGAGAGAGGACCAGCCUGUUUUGAGUGGCAGGACUGAGCUAAAAGAUGGGGAAUAAAAGAUCAUUAUCUCUAACACUGUGUUUGGAUGUAUAAGGCCUGAUAUUAGACAUUGGUAUUGGACAAGUACCGAGUACUAUGAUUUGGGUUGUUUGGCUGGUCCAAGUAUUCGAUCCACACAUGGCACAAUUCCGAUGGGUAAGCCUCGACAUCCCUGGGUAUUCGGAACUUUCGGAACUGCUCGACAACACCCGCGUUCAACCCUCGCUCGAAGCAAUUUUCCCUUUUUCCCUGCCUUUUCCGUCCCUCUUCUAGCUCCCGCGCGAGGUUCAAGGCUUCCAGCGGCUGCGGCCCGAGCAGGCAGCAGCAGGGCCCUUCCUCCCUCCUCCUCCUCCUACGGCACCGGCGGUCUUCUCCCGCGACGCCGCAGCCCCGCACCAGACCACCUUGCCCUCCCUUCCCAUCUCUCUCCUCCGCGACCGCCCGUCCCCGCCGCCGCGCCCUCCUCGUCGGCUCGUCGCUCCCGAAGAAGAAGAGGACCGUGCGUACUGCGUAGGUACGGUGGUGCCGCACCAUCUGGAGCGGCGUGCGGCCUAAGGAGCAGCUCCGCCUUCCUCCGACUGGGCACGGCGCCGGCGGCCUCCCGCCCCUCCCUUCCGGCGUUCACCCUCUCAUCUCCCUUCUCUCUGCAGGUUUGCGGGCCAUCUCGACCAAGCUCCUGCCUCCGGCGCAGGUCCUGUUGGAGAUAUGCCCUAGAGGCAACCAUGUGAUGAUGUUAUUUCCUAUGUAUUCAUGAGUUAUUUGUCCUUGAACAUCAUCACUGAUAUGUAUCAAUAAAUACGUGAUUUGUUUGUGAAACUAUGUAUUCUAUGAUGUUGUUCUAAUGGUCCCUGGUCAUUGAGGUUAUGCGGACACAUAACCUAGACUAGCAAUGUGAAUCAGUGUGAUGACUAUGUUUCACAAGUCAUAGCGCAAGGUGUUGCCGACUGAUAGCAUGGACUCGACAAUGAGAUUGUUGAGUCGGACAGACCCGCACUGAGACACAACGAGAUGAUUGUCAUUUGUUAGUCUCAAGUACGAUGUAUAUGCCAGUCCUAGACCUGAGGUCAUCGUAUGAGCUUGGGAUGUGAAUCGGCCUACUUAGGGGUUGCCAAACGCUACUCCGUAACUGGGUGGUUAUAAAGGUAGCUUUCGGGUUCGCUGAGAAGCAUGCUGCGAGUCAUGGUUGAUCAAGAUAGGAUUUGCCCCUCCUGUUCGGAGAGAUAUCUCUGGGCCCUCUCGAGUGAUCAGAUUCGGAAAGCAUGGCCAUGCGACUUGGGUUAAGUGUUAACCCGUUCGGGAAUCUGUAUCACAGGAACGAGAAGAGACUCGAGCUAUCCACAAGGAUGACACGCACUCGCCUUGAGCUCGACACACAUAUCGCGAGGCAAAAGGAAUGUUGCAUAUGACACAUUGUAUGGUUCGUCAAUAUACCUUGUGGUUACUCGGGAGUUGGCACGUGCUGCUAGGCGCCGCUACCAACUAUCGACUUGAGUCGGUGCCAGUGGACGAGCAAGGUGUUACUCGGGCCCGCAGUCCGAGCUCGUAGUCAUGGCCGACUGACCGCGAACCUGAAGGGUCACACGCUUAAGGGGUGGGAACCGAGUUGGAUCGAUCCAACUCGUAUCGGGCUUGGACUCCUAAUGGGCCUCAAGUGUUGAGCCCACUAGGGACGUCUAUAUAAGUGGAGGAGACCAACCCGUCUAGGGUUAACUCCAGUUCAGACGCGAGUUAGACUCGGCCGUCGCACCUCCACGCCCAAAGCCUUGCGAUCGGAUCUAGCAGUCCGCCGCACGGAGUUCCUCCCUGUACGUGUGGAUACCUCGGAGGCGCUGCACCUGCGGCGCUUGGACGAACUGUUCGUGGGAUCGGCGAGGAGGAGCAGGCUGUUCGACUACUCGGCAUCGACGCGCUACAUCGACUCUACUUCCGCUACAGGUCUGCGCGUCUAGUGGUAAUCUCGUGAUCCAUUAUCUACAGCAUUGAUCCGGGCGGAAGCGGUAGAAAAUUUUAUUUUGUGCUAGCGUAGCAUACCGCGUUCCCCAACAGUGGUAUCAGAGCCGAUGCUGUCUGUUUUGGAUUCGAAUUGCGUGCAUAAGUGUUAUGCGGUUAGUAGUAGAUGUGAUCUAUUGCUAUCUUGGUGGUCGAUCUAAGUGUUAGAUCGGUUUUGUACUCAAUCGAUUGGAUCGAUUGUACUCGGGGAUCAUGGAUAUUCGAUUCUGAUAAUCGUGAUGUAGAAGGUCGUGACACAACAUACUCCUACCGGUCGGAUUUCCGCCAUCGGAGUAGACAGUGAAACAUAAAUCCGGAUACAAUUCAUGAGAUCAAUGCGAUUGAUCGAAUCGGAAUAGAAAUCCAUGAAGGAAAUUUCGGAUUGGAUCGGGGGACCGCCGUGCUAUCUAUUCGUAGCGCCUUAGUUGUCGUUGCGAGUUCACAUCAAUUCGGUAGAAUAGGUUUGUACGCUUAACUUGUUUUUGCAGGAUUGAUGUGAAUAGUAUGGCUCAUAUGUAUGUGAUACAUGUGUGUAAUAUUUGCAUGACCUGCGUGUCAUGAGUUUGUCAGCCAGGCUGGAGCCAAGGUGCUGUCUUUAUAAUUGUAUAACGACCUGCGUGUCGACAUUUGAUGUCAUUCUCCAUGUAAAUUCUUUGCUAGAUACUAGGUGUAGUCAUUUAGUAUGAAUUGGAGGACGUGAGCACCAUGGCGGCUUGAUGAACAGGUUCAUGGAGAUGGAGAUCACCAUGAAGAACAGAGCCAUACUAUUUCACAUGUUAAUUUGAUUAUCUGUGAUGGUUAUUGCUUUGUUUACUCCUAUGCAUGUUAUUGUGUUAGAGUAGAAUGAUCCCUCAAAGAAUGUCAAGUUUAUUUACCUCCCCAAUAGCUGCAACACCACAAGACAAGUACAUUUGGUGAUGGGCUCAUGAAAUUGGGGUAUCACCAUUUUUCCUUGUCGUUGGUGAUGUUCGUGUCGGACACUUACAUGCGAAGCUUUGGUUAACUUGACGGGGCUAUCAAAACGGUUUUGGGCCUCGAGGUGAAAGGAGUCGGAGCCGGGGCAAGUGUUGCCUACCGACUAACAAGAGUCGUAUAGAGAUACGAUUGGCAAGAGUUGCCUACCGAGUGAUUCAAUCGGCUAGCAGUGAUGCUAAAGCUCACUAGACGAUUGGUUGAUCUUGGAUCUUGAAUCACUAAUGAUCAAUGGAGGGAUGUUGAUUUUAGUGGGAGUAUAUUUCUAUUAAAUUGUUUAAUAUGAAUUACUCUUCAUGAAUACUUGUCUUAGUGUUUUUGCAUUUUCUGUUGUAGAUCAAUGGCACCACCUCAAUUGUCCAGUUUUGCUUUGAGAUCUGUUCUUGAGAAAGAUAAACUAAAUGGAACUAACUUCACCAACUGGUAUCGGAACCUGAGAAUCGUUCUCAGGCACGAUAAGAAAGAAAGAAAGAACAUGUCAUAGAGAACCCACUUCCAGAGGAGCCGGCUGAUAAUGCCACUGCUGCUGUUAGAAACGCCUAUCAACGCUCAUGUGAUGAGUCGAUUGAGAUCAGCUGUCUGAUGCUUGCCUAUAUGGAGCCCGAACUGCAGCAGCAGUUUGAGAAUGUUGAGGCUUUCGAUAUGAUCGAGACUCUCAAAGGCAUGUUUCAGACUCAGGCUAGGACCGAAAGAUUUAAUGUCUAAAGGUCCUUCCUGGAGACUAAGCUGAAAGAAGGCGAACCCUUGAGCCCACAUGUAAUCAAGUUGGUUGGUUACACGCAAAGCUUGGAGAAGCUGGGCUUUCCGCUGAGCCAAGAGUUGGCCACGGAUACAAUUCUGGCAUCUCUUCCGCCAAGCUAUGCGCAGUUCGUUCAGAACUACCAUAUGCAUGGCAUGGAAAAGAAAGUCACUGAAUUGCAUGGGAUGCUUAAAACAGCAGAGGAGGAUAUCAAGAAAAAUACCAAGCAAGUGUUGCUGGUACAGGGAAAGCCAAAGUUCAAGAAAAAUUCUUGGGCUAAGAAGAAGGCAAAGAAGGGAAAGGCUAAGGAUGUGAUCCCGACCCCUGCCCCUGCUGCGCCUAAGGCUGGACCGGACUCAGAGACCGUAUGCUUUUUCUGCAAAGGCACCGGUCAUUGGAAGAGGAACUGCAGCAAGUACCAGGCCCACGUGGCAAAGAAGGGUGGAAGUGUGACUUCUACUUCAGGUACGGUUGUUGUAUAUGUUAUAGACAUUUAUCUUGCUGAUGCACCUAACAGCUCUUGGGUAUUGGAUACCGGAUCGGUUGUUCACAUUUGCAACUCGAUGCAGGGGCUGGCAAGGACUAGGAGCGUCGCAAGUGGAGAGGUUGACAUAAGGGUUGGCAAUAAAGCAAGAGUUGCAGCGUUGCCCGCCGGGACUAUGCAACUUCAUUUACCUUCUGGAUUUGUUAUGGAAUUAGAUAAUUGUUAUUAUGUUCCUGCUUUAAGUCGAAACAUUAUAUCUGUCUCAAAGUUGUUGAGUCACGGUUAUGAAUUCAAUAUUAAGGGCAAUGGUUGUUCUUUUUAUUUGAAGGAUAUGUUUUACGGCUUUGCACCUGUUGCGAACGGGUUAUUCAUCCUUAGUCUUGAAGGAGAAUCUGUCUAUAACAUUAAUGUCAAGAGGCGCAAGCCUAACGAUCUGAAUCAAACCUAUUUUUGGCAUUGUCGUUUGGGUCACAUAAGUGACAAACGCAUGAAGAAGCUCCAUGGAGAUGGACUUUUAACAUCGUUUGAUUAUGAAUCAUUCGAGACAUGCGAGUCUUGUCUACUAGGCAAGAUGACCAAAUCGCCUUUUGCAAAGAGUUGCGAGAGGGCGACCGACUUGUUGGAACUCAUACAUACUGAUGUGUGUGGACCAAUGAGCACGACAGCUAGAGGAGGUUAUCAAUACUUCAUAACAUUCACUGAUGAUUUGAGUAGAUAUGGAUAUGUCUACUUAAUGAAACAUAAGUCGGAAACCUUUGAAAAGUUCAAGGAGUUCCAGAAUGAAGUAGAGAACCAACGUGGCAAGAAAAUAAAACUUCUACGAUCUGAUCGUGGAGGCGAGUACUUGAGUCACGAGUUCGACGAUCAUCUGAAGAGUUGUGGAAUUGUUCCACAGCUCACACCGCCGGGUACACCACAAAGAAAUGGUGUGUCGGAAAGGCGGAACCGGACCUUGUUGGACAUGGUUCGGUCGAUGAUGAGUCAGUCAGAUCUUCCCUUGUCAUUUUGGGGUUAUGCUCUAGAAACCGCAGCGUUCACACUAAACAGAGUACCAUCCAAGUCCGUAGAUAAGACACCAUAUGAGAUAUGGACUGGAAAGCGUCCCAGUUUGUCUUUUCUAAAGAUUUGGGGCUGUGAUGCAUUUGUCAAACGACUUCAGUCGGACAAGCUCACUCCCAAAUCAGACAAGUGCAUAUUCGUGGGAUAUCCAAGGGAAACCUUAGGAUAUUACUUCUACAACCGGGCAGAGGGCAAAGUGUUUGUCGCUCGAAACGGUGUCUUCCUUGAGAAAGAGUUUCUCAGUCGGGAGGCAAGUGGGAGGUCAGUGCAACUCGAAGAAGUUCGAGAUGAGCCAGUAGGGGAUAACUUGACAGGUGAUGUCAGUGUGACUGAGCCAGUCGUCGUACCCACGGCCAAUACAGCACCGUAUCCACGAAGGUCGGAAAGACUAUGUAAUAUACGCAAUGUGUUGUUGCUAGACAAUGACGAGCCGACUAAUUAUGCAGAAGCGAUGGUGGGUCCAGAGUCCGAGUUAUGGCUUGAGGCCAUGAGAUCCGAAUUAAAGUCCAUGGAUGAAAACCGAGUUUGGAACUUGGUAGAUCCGCCAGAGGGUGUAAAAACCAUUGAGUGCAAAUGGAUAUUUAAAAGAAAAACUGAUAUGGAUGGAAAUGUUCAAAUCCAUAAAGCUCGACUUGUCGCAAAGGGUUUUCGACAAGUUCAAGGAGUUGACUACGACGAGACUUUCUCGCCGGUAGCGAUGCUUAAAUCAGUUCGGAUCAUUCUAGCUAUUGCUGCAUAUUUCGAUUACGAGAUAUGGCAAAUGGAUGUCAAAACGGCUUUCCUUAACGGAAAUUUAACCGAGGACGUGUAUAUGAUACAGCCCGAGGGUUUUGUCGAUCCAAAGAAUGCUGGAAAAAUAUGCAAACUUCAGAAAUCCAUCUAUGGAUUGAAGCAAGCAUCUCGGAGCUGGAACAUUCGUUUUGAUGAAGUAGUCAAAGGGUUUGGCUUCAUCAAAAAUGAAGAAGAACCUUGUGUAUACAAGAAGUUUAGUGCAAACUCAGUCGUAUUUCUAAUCUUAUAUGUGGAUGACAUAUUAUUGAUUGGAAAUGACAUUCCGAUGCUAGAAGCCGCCAAGGACUCAUUGAAGAAAAGUUUUUCAAUGAAGGACUUGGGAGAAGCGGCUUAUAUUUUGGGAAUCAGGAUCUAUAGAGAUAGAUCAAGGAGGCUUAUUGGUUUAAGCCAGAGUACAUAUGUUGACAAAGUGUUGAAGAGGUUCAACAUGAAUGACGCAAAGAAAGGGUUCUUGCCCAUGUCGCAUGGUAUAAGUCUAAGCAAGACUCAGAGUCCUUCGACUUCUGAUGAGCGAAGUCGGAUGAGUGCGAUUCCGUAUGCUUCGGCGGUCGGAUCCAUCAUGUACGCCAUGUUAUGUACUCGACCGGAUGUUUCCUAUGCUCUAAGUGUUACGAGCAGGUAUCAGGCUGACCCCGGUGAGAGUCACUGGACAGCGGUGAAGAAUAUCCUUAAGUACUUGAGAAGGACUAAGGAUAUGUUUUUGGUUUACGGUGGUGAGGAUGAGCUCGUUGUAAAGGGUUACACCGAUGCUAGUUUCCAAACCGACAAGGACGAUUAUCGAUCACAAUCUGGAUACGUGUUCGUCUUGAACGGAGGUGCGGUGAGCUGGAAGAGCUCUAAGCAAGAAACGGUGGCCGACUCUACAACAGAAGCUGAGUAUAUCGCGGCUUCGGAAGCCGCGAAAGAAGGCGUUUGGAUCAGAAAGUUUGUUUCUGAGCUUGGAGUGGUUCAGGGCGCGUCCAAUCCCAUGGACCUCUACUGUGACAACAGUGGUGCUAUCGCACAAGCCAAAGAACCACGACAUCACCAAAAAUCCAAACACAUACUCAGGCGUUACCAUCUCAUACGGGAAUUCGUGGAGAGAGGUGACGUUAAGAUAUGCAAGGUACACACGGAUCUCAAUAUUGCCGAUCCGUUGACAAAGCCUCUCCCGCAACCAAAGCAUGAGGCGCACACACGAGCCAUGGAUAUGCGAUACUUGGAUGAUCGACUCUAGUGCAAGUGGGAGACUGUUGGAGAUAUGCCCUAGAGGCAAUCAUGUGAUGAUGUUAUUUCCUAUGUAUUCAUGAGUUAUUUGUCCUUGAACAUCAUCACUGAUAUGUAUCAAUAAAUACGUGAUUUGUUUGUGAAACUAUGUAUUCUAUGAUGUUGUUCUAAUGGUCCCUGGUCAUUGAGGUUAUGCGGACACAUAACCUAGACUAGCAAUGUGAAUCAGUGUGAUGACUAUGUUUCACAAGUCAUAGCGCAAGGUGUUGCCGACUGAUAGCAUGGACUCGACAAUGAGAUUGUUGAGUCGGACAGACCCGCACUGAGACACAACGAGAUGAUUGUCAUUUGUUAGUCUCAAGUACGAUGUAUAUGCCAGUCCUAGACCUGAGGUCAUCGUAUGAGCUUGGGAUGUGAAUCGGCCUACUUAGGGGUUGCCAAACGCUACUCCGUAACUGGGUGGUUAUAAAGGUAGCUUUCGGGUUUGCUGAGAAGCAUGCUGCGAGUCAUGGUUGAUCAAGAUGGGAUUUGCCCCUCCUGUUCGGAGAGAUAUCUCUGGGCCCUCUCGAGUGAUCAGAUUCGGAAAGCAUGGCCAUGCGACUUGGGUUAAGUGUUAACCCGUUCGGGAAUCUGUAUCACAGGAACGAGAAGAGACUCGAGCUAUCCACAAGGAUGACACGCACUCGCCUUGAGCUCGACACACAUAUCGCGAGGCAAAAGGAAUGUUGCAUAUGACACAUUGUAUGGUUCGUCAAUAUACCUUGUGGUUACUCGGGAGUUGGCACGUGCUGCUAGGCGCCGCUACCAACUAUCGACUUGAGUCGGUGCCAGUGGACGAGCAAGGUGUUACUCGGGCCCGCAGUCCGAGCUCGUAGUCGUGGCCGACUGACCGCGAACCUGAAGGGUCACACGCUUAAGGGGUGGGAACCGAGUUGGAUCGGAUCCAACUCGUAUCGGGCUUGGACUCCUAAUGGGCCUCAAGUGUUGAGCCCACUAGGGACGUCUAUAUAAGUGGAGGAGACCAACCCGUCUAGGGUUAACUCCAGUUCAGACGCGAGUUAGACUCGGCCGUCGCACCUCCACGCCCAAAGCCUUGCGAUCGGAUCUAGCAGUCCGCCGCACGGAGUUCCUCCCUGUACGUGUGGAUACCUCGGAGGCGCUGCACCUGCGGCGCUUGGACGAACUGUUCGUGGGAUCGGCGAGGAGGAGCAGGCUGUUCGACUACUCGGCAUCGACGCGCUACAUCGACUCUACUUCCGCUACGGGUCUGCGCGUCUAGUGGUAAUCUCGUGAUCCAUUAUCUACAGCAUUGAUCCGGGCGGAAGCGGUAGAAAAUUUUAUUUUGUGCUAGCGUAGCAUACCGCGUUCCCGAACAGGUCCAACAUCGUGUGCUGAGCAAGCAAAUUUGGAUUCCGGCCACGAUGAUUAAUUCUUCUCAUCUCACUGUUAGUCUGUUCUUCUGUCUUCUCUCUGACCUGACCACCCUCUAUCUCUCUUUUCUACCUACAAUGUUGUGGCUACAAUGUCAAGAUUACGGCGUUGUGUAUAUUUUCCAAUGUAUUUUUCAUUUUUUAUUGUCAUGUGAUAUAUAUAGUUAUUCAAAUAUAUUUCAAAUGUUAUAUGGAUUUUGAAAUAUGCAUAAAAACAGUAUAUCAAUCAUACUCGGACAACUGCAAUUGAUCGCUUUGACCAUCCAAACAAGAUUUGUCAUUCAAUCUUAAUAUCAAGUUUGGGUUCCGAAUACCGAAUAUCCAAACAAAAGUAUUGGCAUUCAAUGUCAAUAUCAAUAUCCUGUGAUGUUGACAUUGGAGCAAAUGCACAAUGUCAAGCCUCUCAAUAUCUACAUCUAAACAAAGCUAAGAUCUCGAGGAGACGAUGACGAUGAUGAGAUAAGGUGUGCGGUGAUGAUCCAUGCGUCUAGGAGCUAGCAGCUACGUCCUUGCAGAUAUCACAACCAAAUGUUGACCGGAUCCCAAGAUAUUUGCCCAUAUCUUGCGCAAAUGAUAGAAAAACCAAAUGCAAGCGUCGGUCCGUACCGGAUAAUAAAUAAUUUUGUCCGGCACAUCACUUUUAUCAGUUUUAUUUCAACAUAGGGAGUUGCCUCUGUUUAAGCUGAACUUCGGGUCAUUUCUCACGCCGAGAAGGAGAAUGCAGUCCAGAUUCAGUAGUACAAAUCCAUUUGUCUGCUUAAUGUUAGGUUAAAAAAAAUUCAAGAAAGUAAAUACGAAUCGCAUCAUCGGGAUAGCUCAAGCAGUGAUUCGGUCUACUCAAACGGCCUAUAUGCCUGACCGUCAUGUUCUAGACGGGUGGUUGUCCUUCACGAGACUAUUGAAUAAACUUCACUUGAAGAAAAGAGUGAAUUCCAUUUUUUUACCCCCUCUUUGAAACUUUUUGACACAAUCUACCCCAUUUAAGGGAAUUUCCAAAAUUGUACCCCAUUUAACCAAACCUUUGCCACCAAUUACCCUUUUAAUAUUUUCCCCCAAAUCUGACGUUUUCUGACGAGCGGGGCCCACUUUUCAGGCCUACGUGGCGUGCCACGCUGGCCUUCGGGGCCAAACCAGCCCGGUUCAGUUCGUGCGGUUCUGUCCGGUUGGGGUCUGACAUGGGCUUCAGUGGGUUCUGCCCGGUUCUUUCUUUCUCUGUAUCUCGCUCAUAACUCUUUCUCCCUCAUCUCUGUCUGUCUCCCACGGGUUAGGGUUUAGGCUGCGGCGACGGCGGCGGCGACGGAAGCAACCGCGACCUGUCGGCGGAGAAAGCGGCCACCACGGGUGCUAAGCCGGGUUCGACUCGGUGUUUCUCCGGGCCUGCGCUCAGAUGGCGUCGCCGGCGAAACGGAAGGCAGUGGGAGUGGCGAUUCCGAAGCUCCCCGUAUAUUCCGGGAAUUGCGAUUCUUCGUGGAAGGUAUGUUCAUCCGCCUCGUUUCCUUUCCGUUUCCAUCUCCUUAACGUCUUUCAUCUGUGAUUUCAUUGGUGAUUUGGGGAUAUAUUGUGGUCACAAAGAUAGGACUGAUGCGUAUCAUUGGAUUUUGGGGUUUCUCAAAAUUUAUUCCUGCUGGUGCAGCGUUUAAUUUGUGGUGUGGUUAAUGUACUUUUCAUAUCAGGAAAUUGUGGGCUCAAGCAAGUUCUCCCUUGUCAGUGGGUGCCGCUGGAAGGAACAGAGGAGAAGAUGGAUGCAAUCGACAGGAACUGCUCACGUUGGGCACUUUUGGAUGCAAUCCUGGAAGCAUUUUGUGAUGAAAAUGUAUGAAAUGUAUGCACUGUUGUACAUGGGCUGAUAUGUUGUACCAAAUUUUGCCUCAAAUGCAAUGAAAAUAUACGGGCUGAUAUAUAUGGUGAAGUGAAUUUUGUAUGGUUGCCAGAAAACCGAACCGGCACCUGACCUGAACCGGGCCGGUUCGGCCCCGAAGGUCAGCGUGGCACGCCACGUAGGACUGAAAAGUGGGCCCCGCUCGUCAGGAAACGUCAGAUUUGGCGGAAAAUAUUAAAAGGGGUAAUUAGUGGCAAAGGUUUGGUUAAAUGGGAUAUAAUUUUGGAAAUUCUCUUAAAUGGGAUAGAUUGUGUCAAAAAGUUUCAUAGAGCGGGUAAAAAAUGAAAUUCACUCUGAAGAAAAUGGAUGGCACUUUCUCACUAAAACUAGCAAUGAGGAAGAAGCAGGUCUAGCUCAAGGCUCCAGCUAGCUCAAGCCUCUUUGAUUUACAAGAUUGGAAAAAUCGGAGGAAUAGAAGGAAAAAAAUGUAGAAAUGCAAUGUGAUGUUUCACUACCAGGGUCACAGAGCUUAGUGAUGGUGAUUUAUUUUUGUGUCGGGCACCAGAAUGACUGUCAUGAAAAUAAUAAUUGUGACAGGCUACUACUGACACCAAAUUAUUAAUUUUUGUGGCGGGCCUUGACACUACCGACAGAAAAUAAAAUAUAUUGUGGCAGUUGGAAUCCGACACAUUUUCAUGCCGGUUCACCAUUACACAAAACACACAUUUGUGACGGUUAUGAUGUACCCAUCACAAAAAUAACAACGUCCCAAAUAUUGUUUUUAUCACUUUUGUGAACCAAAUACCAUAAGUCUGCUCUACUCUCAAAAUAUCUGAACAUUCAUAGGACUAUAUUUUGUAGACACGAAUUAUAUUUCUGUCGGCUUUUGGUUAUUUCUGAAGGUUUAGCACCGUCACUGUACUCUGUGAUCCUGUUAGUUUGAUUGCCUGAAAUUUUGUUCGAAUAUUGUAGGGAAAGCAAAGGAUUUCUCCCAAGAAAUGUAGUACUCCCUCAACGACAAGAAUUUGGGAUAGGAGGAAGUUCUUAGGAAAAUUUAGUAUAGGAUAUAAUCCUACGAAUCAAAGGACUCAUGUAGGAAAAAUUCCUAAUGAUUCUAUAUCAAAGCGUGCGUCGAUUUUGUGUUUGUUAGUCUCUGACCUAUAUAUGUCGGCUGACGGCAAGGACCCAGCGUCCGACCGAGCCGCGCGGGCAAGAGCCAUCUUGUGUACACUCCAGGUGAGCAGUCGUGCAUCUCAAAAGAAAAGAGACCCGGGACAGUUGUGUUGCCCCGGGUUUGCACUGUUGUACACGGCCGGGUCGUACUUUUUAGAAUGUCUCCGUGUGCAUAUCGAGCGUUUUACUUUCUUUUUUUUAGAAUCUCCUGUAACUUUAUUCAAACUCAAAACAUUACGGGUACAGUGCUUCGGAUCAUGGACAAAAGAAACUACAAAGUAACCCCUAUGAGUAAGAAUUACAAUGAAAUCUUUUGAAAACAUAUUCUCCGUAGCAUCAAUUUUUGCAACACGAAAUACUCUUCAUACUUUAGCAAAAGAACUGCAAUUAGACUGGAGUGGCAACAUCGCCACUCGUAACCCUGCACGAAUUUGAUUAUCUUUAAAGGUUUCAGAAAGCCCCUUGAGUCGUCCAUCUAAAAAGAUGAGAAGCCGUGAGCAUUGAACAUACUUGGGCCGGGGUUGAUCCCACAUGAUCUUCACGAAAACGCCAGAGAAAGACUCCAAAGUCACCAAAGUAUCAUGACACACUGACAAAAACUCAUCAAAUCCGUAUGAACAGCUCUGCGAGGACAUAAACUCAAAAUCCGCGUGAUCGGACACAUCGAAUCCGCGGUGAGUAAAACUUUUUGGCCCCGUGGCACUGCGCAAUAAGGCACCGCCGCAGCAGAGGAAAAACCAGAAUACCUUUAUUCUCGACGGCAUCGCACCCUCCGUCGUAACGUUGCCGAUGAAGAUCACAAGACUCGUAAUAGUAAAAACUUCUAAAAACACCCGGUAAUACCCGAGAUUCCCCCCACCUCGCAGCGCCAAGAUGGCGACAGGAGGUGAGGGGAACCGGUGAAUCCGGACGGUGCUCUACCUCAAAACUCUAAGUUUUCUCCCUCUCCUUCUCCCUGGCGGCGAUAGCGUACCUAACGUUUUACUCCCUCUGAUUCUAAAUUCUUGACUCAACUUUGCCAAAAUAUAAAUGUAUUUAUUAUUAAAAAGCGUCUAGAUACAUGUAAUAUUUCGACAACAAUUUAGGAUCGGAGGGAGUACUUUUUUUCCUUCCUUUCUUUGCCUCCGUGGGCUUCUUUUCUGUUUUUCUUUUUGGGCCGUGUCCCACCUGGCCCAUAUCUUAGCCACUGCCUCACCGAGCCCAACCGCUCGCUAGUCACGCAUGGUGGCCACGUUCCCCCUCUGCUAAAAAAAAACUUCGUGAGAACUGAUCAACUGAAGCACGAACUCCAUUCAAUCCUUUCCUCAAAAAAAAAAAACUCCAUUCAAUCCUCUAGAUUCCCAAUUGAAGCCCGCCAAAGAAAACCCCAUUCGCUCCUGAAUUGGUACCGCGAGUGGGAUGGCGUUGAUUCGCUGUGGAAUACCGGCAGCGGGCGGCGGUUGCUAGUCUGGGGCGAUUCGGCGGGCCUGGAGCAAGAGCCGGCGGAGCAAGGGCGGGCCACGGGUGCAGGAGCAGGAGCCGGCGGGGGUGAGGGCGAGCUGGGUCUGCGGCGAUUCCCGGAGGUUGCUGCUGUGAACGGCGACUCCGGCAGGGAGUUUUUGGCGGCAGGCGGCGGCAGAGAUUUCCGCCGGUUGAGGACGACGGCCCGGAUCGAGGCGUGUCCGAGAUCAGCCCACUUGGGAUCGAUUCCGGGUCGACUGAUUGGGCAUCUGAAAUAGGAACCCGCGGGCCGACCCUGGGCCGGAACCAACGGCGGCGGCGGGCCGGCCCGGUCUCUUCAACGCGCGUGUGUCGGCGGUGCGGGUCAAGUUUAUUUUUUUCUGAAUUACCUCUUUCAUAAUCUCGCAGCUUUUCUUCACGAGCGUAGAUGGCCAAUGGCCGGGCGGACGACAUUGUAGCGAGAGUCGUGUUUUCUUUUGAUUAAAGAUGGCAUUUUCUCCGAUUUCAUUAAAAGAAACAAUAUGUCUGUUAUAUAAAAUAAAUAAGUCCAAUUUUAAGAGCUACACUAAGCAAACAGCAAGAAGGCUACCCCUACAUUAUUCCCCUACACAUUGUUGUGCUCAGCAAACAAGACACUCUUCCUCGUCCAGCGAUACAGAGAAUAUGCAACAGGCCUACAGAUUUUGUCAACGGCCCUAACCUUGAGAUCGACAGAAGACCUCACAUGUGACUUGCCACAGUCUGCGGGAGCAUUUGCGAAGCGGUUCUCAAGUGGCGGGCUUAUGAAAACCAGCCCAAAGAUGAAUAAUAGAGCAGAUGUUAAAAUCACUACCGGAGGAUCAUAAGGUAACUUAUUCUUAAAACAAGCAUCCUUCCUUGUCUUCCAAAGAGUCCAAAGAACGGCUGCAACUCCAACUACCACGAGGUUUUCAACUUUCUUGCCAAACUAAAUCAGCCAACAAUAAAGCAAGUCCUAAAUAGAGACUGGAUCUACAACAACAUUAAAGCUAACUUGUACAGCAUUCCAGACAUAUCUUGCCAAGACAGCAUGAAAAGAACAAGUGGUCGAUGGAUUCUGUCUAGACCAGAAGGCACAUCUCUCUUCCCCCUCCCACCCUUGAGAUUUCAAUACAUCUAUGGUAAGUACACUACCUCUGUAGACCAGCCAAAGGAACACCAUAAUUUUCAGAGGCAUUUCUACUCUCCAGAGAAAGAAGUAUGGAAAUCGAACAUGGGACCGUUCAGUGCUCUGUACAUCGAGCCUACUAAAAAUCUCCCCUGGCAUCAGGUUUCCAAUACAGCUUGUAAUCUCCCCCGGUUAUCAUGUACCGAGUGUCGGUACACGAGGUUUUAUCAGGUUCGACUCUCCACGUGGAGAUAAAGAUCUACAUCUUGUUUGAUUGCAUUGAUCUUGAUUGUAGCGAUUACAAGCUGUGAUUCUUGUGUAGGCUCGGAAUCUAAUUCUAUGAUCUAUUGUCGAUUGUAAUAAGCUAUAAAAUUGUGUGCCUCGGGGCAGCCCCUGAUGGCCUUAUAUACUUGGCCAAUCUAGCUUACAAGUAGAAUUCCUAGCGGGACUCAACAAGAUGCUUGUGAUGGGGUAAUGGAACUAUAUAUUAUGAUCAAGGGCGGAGCUAGAGGAAAAAGCAUCCGAGUGCACUCUUUAAAGUUCAAUACUUCCUGGGACGCCUAGACAGCUUGGCCUGAUGCACACUUCCUAAUAAUCCCUAGUGCACUAGCUAAUUGCAGGGUAUAGUUAGCAUUAGAAAUUUUGUUUGACCCCUGGUGCAUGUGACCUAGGGAGCCAACAAGUAGGUCCGCCCCUGAUUAUGAUAACCCUAAACUGUCUUCAUAUGUUACAUUACACUCUCAAAAGUUGCAAUCAUGUUUUGUCUUUUAUCUAUUUAAAUAAACACUCAAAUCCAUGUUUUGUUUAUCGUCUUUAUGCUCGAGGAUAAGUAUAGACUAAGUUUGGGGGCGUUGAUUAUGUAAAAUGCAUACAUGAACUUUGACGUUUAUAAUGCCAUAUUCCAUCAUAAUUGUAUCGCAUUAUGAGUUAUUACCAUGGUUUUCAAUGAUUUGGGAAACUUCCCAUGAGUUCUCAUUAUUUUGAUAUUUAAUUAUGGAAAGAAGGAAAACCUCUUUUAAGUGUUUUUAACAUUCUAGGAGCUACGGGACUCGAAAAAGGGCACGAUCAGUGGCCACGGUUCAGAAAUUUUGAGAUGCCUCCAGCAAGUCAAAGCAGGCCAUCAGGGUAUCAACAGAAUGCAAAUGGGGCCCCACGGUGCACACCCCCUCCAGGCGCGACGUGCGGCCCACCACGGCCUUCCCUGCCCCUUUUGCCUUCGCUCAUUCGUGUGCAGCUUUGUCUUGACCUAAAACCAUCCAUAUAUACCCCCAAUAAAUUUAAUUCGUGACAUACGGCGACGAAGAGAGGAAACACAAUAACAGAGAUCUACAGGUAAAGACAUGUUUUCCCUCGGAGCUUUUCAUCUCUUAUAAGCAAACACACACACGCCACGAGCUUGACCUCUUGAAGCAUAGAGGAUUGGGCUUUCUCUGAAAAGAGUCACUUUUGUUUACAUUUUACUUGCUUUACUUUACUACACUUUAAAUUCCUCUACUCUAGUAGUUUAUUUCUACAAGUUAAAGAAACCUUGCAUCCGUUAAUUUAUUGGAUCGCAUAAACGGCCGUAUAAGUGGCUUAUAAAUAAUUAGAGAAUAGAUAGUUACCUUCUGCUCCUUGUGGGUUCGACACCAGUACUUAUCAAAAGGUACUACAUUGAUUCCUACACUCGUGUGGGUAUCAAUAUUCUACAUAUACAAAUUUGUGAUUUUAUGCACAAAACACAAAUCAAGUGUAUAUUUUGACGAAAUUACAAAGUGUAAAAUACAUUUAUACUUACACUAGAAAAAGAAUCAAAGCUUCACAAUAUGAUUUUUUUUCAAAUUAUAGGGACCGUGUAGCCAGGAGCCAAAAGUCCAUGUCCGAAGGAAAACUACUUCUCUCUCUACCCAAACGUAUAGAAGAAAACCUUGAGCUUCCAGACAUGGUCGCAUCAUCUCUUCCAUGUCUUCGAAAGCUCUUUAGAGCAUCAUAUCUUCCAUGUCUUCCAACUCUUUGGUCGUCGAGCCAAGUGGAGUUGGGCUGUCUGUUUCGGCGAGAGCAUAUCAGGUGCACCAAGCCCAUUGGUGCACCCGUACGUUGAAGCAACCAGAGCCGCCAUAUGGAAAAUGAAGGGUCCAGAUCAAAACAACGAAGGAAUUCACAUGUUUUAUGUUUAGUCCCUUAAGUUAGUUGUGAAUCAACUCGCGCUCCACUGCUCGUUAGUGUUUCUUGGACUUGGGGGUGGAUUUAAAUAGAACUGAAGGGUGUGAAUGGAAAAGAACACUAUAGAAGAGUGGAGCAUAGGUUGAUUCGCGAUAAACUUAAGGGCCUAGAUGUAAAACGACAAUUGGUUAUGUUUGAUCUAAACUUGGCCCUUGCUUUUCCAUCCAACGGUCCAUGUGGAUUGGACACACAGGGUGCACCAAAUGUCCCAGUGCACCUGAUACGCCCUCCUAUUUCGGCAACUAUACACGUGUCCAAGACUGUCAAGAAACCCGGUCUACUCCCUCAUAAUUGCAUUUAAAUCUAUGAGCUGGCUGAUGACAACUAGCGAAUCAUUGUGCCAUCUGUUGAUUUUUCAAAUCGCUUUGAUCUAUUUGACGAUCUUGGGAACGAUUGUACAAAAGCAAAUGUUCCCCUUGGUAGAAAGAAACGCCUGGUUAAAUUUCCACCAAACCGUCCUCUCUCGGCUAGUACUUAUGCAUUUGUCCUCGAAUUUGGCUUAAAUAGGGUUCUCCAAAUUAUCCGCAACAUCCGUAAGUUUUGUUCUCUCGCAUGCCCUUUCAUGUUUGUGUUGAAAGUUUUGGGAGAGAUGGAUUUAGACUACUUGAAUUCCAGCUUUGUGCAUGAUUUGGUUGUGUUUAUUAUUAUCUUCUCACAUAGAUCUAAUAUGUCCUCUGCGUUUCGUAGGAUCGUGAAGCAGGUUGGGAAGCCCGUUGACGUUGUAGAAAGACAUCAUAUCUUCGUUCUGAGUUCAGAGGUGAGAACUUUGUUCCGAUAUGUUUUUCACGUUAUGUUCUUGUAAUAUAGAUCUGAUGUCGCUUUAGUUCUUUGUUAUAUCAAUACAAGGUAAAUUUGCACUUAUCAAAAGGAAGAUGAACUACCAAGUUCUAGUGCAAACUCUCUUUUGGUCCUUCGUUCAUGCAAAUUUACGUGUUUAAUUUCUCGCCCUUGAUAUGCAACAAUUGGUUGGGAAAGGAUAAAACCUGAUAGAUGAGUCCUUCAAGAGCGCCUAGGAUUCAUGAAUGAAAUUGGUCUAAACGUCUCGUUUUCAUCGACUUAUUCAUUAUUCAUCUAAGGAUAAACAAACUUGUGAUGAUGCUUUGCCAUUGUUUGGUUGAUUGGAUUUGAUCUAUGUAAUAUGGUUCCUAGGUUCUUGUCUGAGUGAAGAUAAUCAAGUGGAAAACUAGACAGUUUACAUCCUGUAACUACUAAAUUGAUUCAAAAUCACCCACAAGAUUGUGUCAUGUAGUAUUUUUGUCAUGCUUGCAGUUACAAUCAUUUGAUUUUUAUGGUGCGGAUCAUUACGUACAUUGUGGUCAACAAUCCUUGUAUGCACACCAGCACACUUGCCCAUGUAAUCAUUUAAGACCAUUGAAUGUGCAAGCUGAAGAUAAAUAUAUUUUGAAUUUGGUGAUAUUUUAUAAAUUUGAUGAACUUUUCCUCCUUGGAAUAGCACACAAGUUGUUUUGAAGUCCUUGCAUAUCAGAAUUCAGAACACAUGGAGUAAACUAGAAAUAAGAUGAGACUGUAAAGUUGUUUUCUUGAGAAAAGCUAAUGCCCAUGAGUUAUGAAAAAGAAAAACUAUUCCAGUGUUUAGCCAUUAUUUAUGCAAAUUCAUAGGUGUUUAAUUAUUUCAUUGAUCAGCGUAUGAUUUAAAAUAUUUUUUAGGUGAGGAUUGAUUGCAAAGAUUAAACCCACAACACACUCCCAAUUAAAUAAAAUUAUUGUGCAUUAUUAUAUUAAUUGUCGCAAUUAAAUACAAUUAGUAUACAUCACUCAUUUUAACCGGCAAUAUCAAUGUGUCAUCAUUGUAUUUAAUAUUUUGGGAGCAAAUAAUUAUUGCACAUUAUUAUAUUAAUUUUCUCAAUUAAAUACAAUUAGUAUACAUCACUCAUUUUAACGGGCAAUAUCAAUGCGUCAUCAAAGAGUGUAAUUAUUUGUCAUCAAGUUGUAUAAUUAAAAUUGUCCCUAUGUCACACAAACAAACAGCAACUACACUCACGUAGAUAAGAAGAAUGCUGUGUGGGGCCAAACAUAGAGGCGCUGCUCGCUGCAACUGACAUCAAGAGCUGCCACGAUGCAGGAGGAAGCCAUACCUUCUAAGGAUCCAAUCAGGUUUCUACGUUAGGAGACAUUCAUGUUUUUCCAUUAGAAGUCCUAGUCUUGGAUUAUAUUAGAAGUCGUGUGUAUUUUCCACAAGCGAAAGAGAAGAUAAAACAUUUUCAUGGACGGCAUUCUCCAAACAAAGAAGAACAACUAGCAAAGUUAAGGAUAACUAGGUGGGAGACUACGUCGUCUUCUAUGCUUAUGCUGGGAGAACACCUCACCGAUCGUCUCUUCUUCCAAUUAUGCAACGUGUAACCAUCUGUCGGCCAUCGUACCGUGAAAGCAAAAAUUAACGAACCAAGUGUGUACAUGACAUAUCACUUGUUGGCGAGAAGACAUUUUCCUCUUGUCAUAUAUCACACCAUUUAUGCAUGGCCAUGAGGACCAACAAAAACUAGACAUGCACACUAACCAAGAUUUGGAUCUUGGAUCAUAGUAUACCAAUACCCAGGAGCCAAUAGCAAAAUGGCACAGCAGCCGCUCUGAAAUCCCUGAUCGCUAGUAGCUUACUGGCCGGCGUGCAGAAACAUACACAUGUGGAUCGCCUGGAUCGCCGGCCUGCACCUGCAGUGUUCCUGCAUGCAGGGAAAUUAUCUUUACCAACAUUCCAAAAUAAAUUAGUGUCAAGAUGAGCAAAUGAACCGCAAAAACACAAAAGGGCGUCAAAAAGGUGCUUGCGAUCAUAGGCGCAGCCAGGCCCCAGGCAACACGGGCCACGGCCUAGGGCGUGGCCAAAAUUUUCAAGCUAAAAAAGAAAAGAAAUUAGGUUUGGCAUGGGGUGUCGUGGCCCACUGGCCCAAGCCAGCUAGCCCAGCCCAGGGCGUGAGCAAUUCAUGACUCCGCCCCUGCUUGCGAUGAAGUUUAAGUCAGAAUAAAGCAGCUAGUAGUGAAGAAUAAAGUGAUGGCUAUGCGCCAAGAUGAGAGACAGAACAAAAAACGAAAAUCAAGAAAAGAAAAUACAUGAACACACAAUUCCAGAGAGAGAGAAAAGCUAAGAAUCCACCAGGCAUCUCUAAUCUUUUCUAGUUUGUUGUGAAUCAACUCGCGCUCCACUGCUCUUUUGUGUUUCUUGGACUGGGGGGGGGGGGGUGGAUUUAAAUAGAACUGAAGGGUGUGAAUGGAAAAGAACAUUAUAGAAGAGUGGAGCGUUGGUUGAUUCACGAUAAACUUAAGGGCCUAGAAGUAAAAUGGCAAAUGGUUAUGUUUGAUCUAAACUUGGCCCUUGUUUUUCCAUCCAACGGUCCACGUGGAUCGGGCGCACCAAAUGGCCCAGUGCACCUGAUACGCCCUCCUAUUUCGGCAACUACACGUGUCCAAGACCUACCAGAAACCCGGUCUACUCACUCAUAAUUGCAUUUAAAUCUAUGAGCUGGCUGAUGACAACUAGCGAAUCAUUGUGCCAUCUGUUGAUUUUUCAAAUCGCUUUGAUCUAUUUGACGAUCUUGGAAACGAUUGUAUAAAAGCAUAUGUUCCCCUUGGUAGAAAGAAACGCCUGGUUAAAUUUCCAGCAAACCGUCCUCUCUCGGCUAGUACUUAUGCAUCUGUCCUCGAACUUGGCGUAAAUUGGGUUCUCCAAAGUAUCCGCAACAUCCGUAAGUUUUGUUCUCUCGCAUGCCCUUUCAUGUUUGUGUUGAUAGUUUAGGGAGAGAUGGAUUUAGACUACUUGAAUUCCAGCUUUGUGCAUGAUUUGGUUGUGUUUAUUACUGUCUUCUCACAUAGAUCUAAUAUGUCCUAUGCGUUUCAUAGGAUCGUGGAGCAGUUUGGCAAGCCCGUUGACGUUGUAGAAAGAUAUCAUAUCUUCGUUCUGAGUUUAGAGGUGAGAACUUUGUUCCGAUAUGUUUUUCCCUUUAUGUUCUUGGAUAAUAUAGAUCUGAUGCCGCUCUAGUUCUUUGUGUCAUCUAGUAUUUUUUUUUCAUGCUUGCGGUUACAAUCAUUUGAUUUUUAUGGUGCGGAUCAUUACGUUCAUUGUGUUCAACUAUUCUUGUAUACACACCAGCACACUUGCCCAUGUAAUCAUUUAGAACCAUUGAACGUCCAAGGCGAAGAUAAAUAUAUUUUGAAUUUGGUGAUAUUUUAUAAAUUGUAUGAACUUUUCCUCCUUCGAAAUCGCACACGAGUUGUUUUGAAGUCCUUGCAUAUCAGCAUUCAGAAACAUGGAGUAAACUAGAAAUAAGAUGAGACUGUAAAGUUGUUUUCUUGAGAAAAGCUAAUGCCCAAUGAGUUAGGAAAAAUAAAAAUUAUUUCAGCGUUUAGCCAUUAUUUAUGCAAAUUAAUAGGUGUUUAAUUAUUUCAUUGAUCAGCGUAUGAUUUAAAAUAUUUUUUAGGUGAGGAUUGAUUGCAAAGAUUAAACCCACACGGCACACUCCCAACUAAUUAAAAUUAUUGUGCAUUAUUAUAUUAAUUUUCACAAUUAAAUACAAUUAGUAUACAUCACUCAUUUUAACUAGCGAUAUCAAUGCGUCAUCAUUGUAUUAAUAUUUAGGGAGCAAAUAAUUAUUGUACAUUAUUAUAUUAAUUUUCUCAAUUAAAUACAAUUAGUAUACAUCACUCAUUUCAAUACGUCAUCAAACAGUGUAAUUGUUUGUCCCUAUGUCACGCACACAAACAGCAACUAUCCUCGCCUAGAUAAGAAGAAUGUUGUGUGGGGCCAAACAUAAAGGCGCCGCUAGCUGCAACUGGCAUGAGGACCAACAAAAACUAGACAUGCACACUAACCAAGAUUUGGGAUCUUGGAUCAUAGUAUACCAAUACCCAGGAGCCAAUUGCAAAUUGGCACAGCAGCCGCUCUGAAAUCCCUGAACGCUAACUCACUGGCCGGCGUGUAGAAACGUACACAUGUCGAUGGCCGGCCUGCACUUGCAGUGUUCCUGCAUGCAGGGAAAUAAUCUUUUGCACUCGUACAAGUCCAGCUUUAUUUGUUGGCAGCAAGUCAAAGAUGUGUCGUGGCCUGCACCGCCGCAGCCAAUCCACAUCGGCACGAUUUACUUGCGCAAUUAUACGUUGAUUUAGUACCUGUUCGAGUAUUAUUUUGUUUCUUUUGAAAUUUCAACCAGCGCAUAUGUAGGAGUAAAUAGUAAACAGUUCCAUGGACUUGUGCUGGGCAGUACUGGCCCAAUCUUGGACGGUGGAGUACUGUACUACGAUGGGCCUGAACCGGACCUGAGUCCAGCAAUGUAUGUACACCAAGUUUGACCAAAGCCCAAUAUUGCUUAAGUCUAUUUUUAGACCACAAGCAUCACCCUAACAGAAAGAUAUGUAUGCACUGUACUGUUGCAAGUCAACAAGCUUUACAUGCAUCACCCUAACAGAAAGGAAUGAAAGAAAAUAAUGUCUUCAAGUCACACACGGGUGCCUAGGUACUGCUGUCUCCUUUUACCAACAUUCCGAAACCCAUAAAAAUUAAUGUCAAGAUGAGCAAAUGAACCGAAAAAACACAAAAGGGCGUCAAAAGGUGCUUGCGAUGAAGUUUAAGUCAGAAUAAAAUAGCUAGUAGUGAAGAAUAAAGUGAUGGCUAUGCGCAAAGAUGAGAGACAAAAUAAAAAAGAAAUUCAAGAAAAAAAAUGCAUGAGCACAUAAACCCAGAGGGAGAGAAAAGCUAAGGAUCCAGGCAUCUCUAAUCCUUUCCCGUUGAGCAAGAGAGAUAUUCUUGGAUGAUCCAGCCUUAUAUUGUUCCCAAAGACCAUAUCUAGGAUGAACAUUCCUCGUGAUCUAGGGGGA